AACGAACGCUGGCGGCAUGCCUAACACAUGCAAGUCGAACGAGACCUUCGGGUCUAGUGGCGCACGGGUGCGUAACGCGUGGGAACCUGCCCUUAGGUUCGGAAUAACUCCCCGAAAGGGGUGCUAAUACCGGAUAAUGUCUUCGGACCAAAGAUUUAUCGCCUUUGGAUGGGCCCGCGUUGGAUUAGCUGGUUGGUAGGGUAAAAGCCUACCAAGGCGACGAUCCAUAGCUGGUCUGAGAGGAUGAUCAGCCACACUGGGACUGAGACACGGCCCAGACUCCUACGGGAGGCAGCAGUGGGGGAUAUUGGACUAUGGGCGGAAGCCUGAUCCAGCACUGCCGCGUGAGUGAUGAAGUCCUUAGGGUUGUGAAGCUCUUUUACCCGGGAUGAUAAUGACAGUACCGAGAGAAUAAGCACCGGCUAACUCCGUG
RNAcentral lists this ribosomal RNA (433 nucleotides) under uncultured bacterium. RNAcentral describes it as "partial 16S ribosomal RNA". It matches the Rfam family "Bacterial small subunit ribosomal RNA", at positions 29 to 507 of the family's 1533-position model. The record is from RNAcentral.